Molecule: ribosomal RNA, 885 nt
Filed under: uncultured beta proteobacterium
Lineage: Bacteria; Pseudomonadati; Pseudomonadota; Betaproteobacteria
Description: bacterial SSU rRNA
Rfam family: Bacterial small subunit ribosomal RNA
Source: RNAcentral
CAGCCGCCGCGGUAAUMCGUAGGGUGCGAGCGUUAAUCGGAAUUACUGGGCGUAAAGCGUGCGCAGGCGGAUUGUUAAGCAAGACGUGAAAUCCCCGGGCUUAACCUGGGAAUGGCGUUUUGAACUGGCAGUCUAGAGUGCGUCAGAGGGGGGUGGAAUUCCACGUGUAGCAGUGAAAUGCGUAGAGAUGUGGAGGAACACCGAUGGCGAAGGCAGCCCCCUGGGAUGACACUGACGCUCAUGUACGAAAGCGUGGGUAGCAAACAGGAUUAGAUACCCUGGUAGUCCACGCCCUAAACGAUGUCAACUGGUUGUUGGGGGAGUGAAAUCCCUUAGUAACGAAGCUAACGCGUGAAGUUGACCGCCUGGGGAGUACGGUCGCAAGAUUAAAACUCAAAGGAAUUGACGGGGACCCGCACAAGCGGUGGAUGAUGUGGAUUAAUUCGAUGCAACGCGAAAAACCUUACCUACCCUUGACAUGUCCGGAAUCCUGCAGAGAUGCGGGAGUGCCUGAAAGGGAAUCGGAACACAGGUGCUGCAUGGCUGUCGUCAGCUCGUGUCGUGAGAUGUUGGGUUAAGUCCCGCAACGAGCGCAACCCUUAUCAUUAGUUGCUACGCAAGGGCACUCUAAUGAGACUGCCGGUGACAAACCGGAGGAAGGUGGGGAUGACGUCAAGUCCUCAUGGCCCUUAUGGGUAGGGCUUCACACGUCAUACAAUGGUCGGUACAGAGGGUUGCCAAGCCGCGAGGUGGAGCCAAUCCCAGAAAGCCGAUCGUAGUCCGGAUUGUUCUCUGCAACUCGAGAGCAUGAAGUCGGAAUCGCUAGUAAUCGCGGAUCAGCAUGUCGCGGUGAAUACGUUCCCGGGUCUUGUACACACCGCCCGU